UCGAUGGCCACUUGGUAUGGAAGAGACUUGCUAGAAAAUCAGUUUAAAUUUUUAAUUUUCAAAUCAUAUUUAUAUUUACCAUCCAUCGGAAUGAAUACACAGACCUUUUGGAACUACUGUAUGGGCAUUGAUGCUGUAAUGAAAUCACAGGCUGCUAUCACAUAAAAACCCAGUCUCAGCUACAGAUGGCCAUUAAAGAUGACAAUAGUGUUGUUAUACCUCAGGAAAGUUACAGAAAAUAGAUUAAACUAUAUAAUAAAAUUAAAUCGCAAGCUACUAUCAAACAAAAACCCAGUCUCAGCUACUGAUGGCCCUGAAAGAUUGCAACAGUUUUGUUAUCAUAACUUAGGCAAGUUACAGAAAAAAAAUAGUAGGCACUAGGAAGAUACAAAAGUUUAUUAGGUGUGUAACUCCUAUUUUUAAAAAUAUAUUAUUUUAUGCUAAUGACUUACACAUUUUAAAAUAACAUUAAACAUAUUUGUUAUAACAUGUUGGGUACUGAAGGACAGAAAUGAAUCAAAUAUUAAAUGGUACACUUAAAAUUAUCUAAUAAUACCACCCACCUAGCUCCAUAAACAAGGGGAAGAAAAUUAAGAGCAUCUUAUUUACUUUUCAACUUUUGUCAAAUUUUUGUUCUUAAAGGUUAUGACUUCUCUGGCAACCUUUUACCUUAAAAUACCUUUAUUUACUUGCGUAAAGUUGCAUUGGUAGCAUAGCCCGAAAGUCUGUGGUAAUGGUUAGUAAGCGACAGGUCGCAAUUUGGCACAGGAUCGAAGUAUGCUAUAAAUGCUUUUUUUUUUUUCCUAGAAAGAAGAUUAUACCAAUUCAUUACUACCAGUAUAACAGUUUGAUCUUUAACAUACAUUCCCUUGUGGUUUUUGAUUGUUUACUUUGGAAUAUUGUAAAAAUUAAUUUAUAGUCACUAGGCCUCAUGAGUCAUUGCAUUAUGUGAAGGUAUGUAGGAGCGUGGUAGGAGGUUUUCCAGUAGACAACGGAAGUACUGCAUGUCAUAGGAUCUAUGGAAUAUUAUUAUAAAUGUCAUUGGAUAUCAUGCUAAGACAUCGUAGGCUGAAGUAUUUGGAACAAGGUACUGUAGGCCUAUUUUACCCCAUGCCAAGGAAUCAUUAUGCUAGGCCUGUAAGCCUACAUGUACAAUUUCACACAGUAGGUUUUUUAUACCAUAGGUCUACCUUUCAUACCAAAAGGAGGCCUACUCAUCAUAUCAACAAUGUAAGUCUUGAUUUUGAUUAGCAACCAUACUAGUGCUCCUGGGAAGCUAAAGCCUGCCUCCAACUAUUACUCAGUAUGGAGAUGAAGUGGGGGAAGAGGGAAGGGGAGGGGUCGUUGGAGUUUAUUAACUCUAACAUGUCAUAGUCUGUCAAGAACCAACCUAGUCAUCUUGGCCACCACCAGCUUACAGUAGCAGAAGAUAUGCUAUUCUAUACAUUGCAUGUCAACAUCAUUUUCUGGAUUAAAAGUACCCUGGGCCUGAGUAAAUGUUAUUCAAAAUGUAUGGGUAACAGACCCUAGGGAGCAUUAAAAGCUAGUACAUGACAUUUUUGUGGGCAUUAUGAGUAUCUGUUGGAAACAACGGUCAAUCUUUACACACUAUUUUUGUAUGUUAUGUUAUAAUAAUAAAAGUUGAAAAACAAAGGAAAA
RNAcentral lists this long non-coding RNA (1659 nucleotides) under Anneissia japonica. Its description in RNAcentral is "uncharacterized LOC117111968, transcript variant X2". The record is from RNAcentral. Lineage: Eukaryota; Metazoa; Echinodermata; Crinoidea; Comatulida; Comatulidae.